This is a non-coding RNA of Microcebus murinus (gray mouse lemur), 231 nucleotides long. Lineage: Eukaryota; Metazoa; Chordata; Mammalia; Primates; Cheirogaleidae. The record is from RefSeq and is a predicted model, not a curated record.
GCUGGGGAGAGGAGGUCUUGGCCCCCGGCCAGAGACAAGCAGGCACCAAAGGACAAACAGCAAUGGUGUCUUGACAUGCUGUCAAGGAAGUGAAGACCUGCGGGGAGCACCCUGCCCCCAGGAAUGGCUGGAAUGAGAGUCGACUGGAGUCAAGGUUCAGCUGAAAGGUCUGAUUCUCCCGCAUACCUUUACACAGAGUCCCACACAGGAGAGGGAGCUGCGGGCGCGCAU